RNAcentral lists this ribosomal RNA (501 nucleotides) under uncultured bacterium. Its description in RNAcentral is "partial 16S ribosomal RNA". It matches the Rfam family "Bacterial small subunit ribosomal RNA", at positions 30 to 523 of the family's 1533-position model. The record is from RNAcentral.
AUUGAACGCUGGCGGCAGGCUUAACACAUGCAAGUCGAGCGGAGAUGAGGUGCUUGCACCUUAUCUUAGCGGCGGACGGGUGAGUAAUGCUUAGGAAUCUGCCUAUUAGUGGGGGACAACAUUCCGAAAGGAAUGCUAAUACCGCAUACGCCCUACGGGGGGAAGCAGGGGAUCUUCGGACCUUGCGCUAAUAGAUGAGCCUAAGUCGGAUUAGCUAGUUGGUGGGGUAAAGGCCUACCAAGGCGACGAUCUGUAGCGGGUCUGAGAGGAUGGGCCCCCACACUGGGACUGAGACACGGCCCAGACUCCUACGGGAGGCAGCAGUGGGGAAUAUUGGACAAUGGGCGGAAGCCCGAUCCAGCCAUGCCGCGUGUGUGAAGAAGGCCUUUUGGUUGUAAGGCACUUUAAGCGAGGAGGAGGCUACCUGGAUUAAUACUCUAGGAUAGUGGACGUUACUCGCAGAAUAAGCACCGGCUAACUCUGUGCCAGCCGCCGCGGUAA